This 522-nucleotide ribosomal RNA is filed under the name uncultured bacterium. RNAcentral describes it as "partial 16S ribosomal RNA". It matches the Rfam family "Bacterial small subunit ribosomal RNA", at positions 355 to 893 of the family's 1533-position model. The record is from RNAcentral.
UGGGGAAUAUUGGACAAUGGGGGCAACCCUGAUCCAGCAAUGCCGCGUGUGUGAAGAAGGUCUUCGGAUUGUAAAGCACUUUCGACGGGGACGAUGAUGACGGUACCCGUAGAAGAAGCCCCGGCUAACUUCGUGCCAGCAGCCGCGGUAAUACGAAGGGGGCUAGCGUUGCUCGGAAUGACUGGGCGUAAAGGGCGUGUAGGCGGUUUACACAGUCAGAUGUGAAAUCCCCGGGCUUAACCUGGGAGCUGCAUUUGAUACGUGUAGACUAGAGUGUGAGAGAGGGUUGUGGAAUUCCCAGUGUAGAGGUGAAAUUCGUAGAUAUUGGGAAGAACACCGGUGGCGAAGGCGGCAACCUGGCUCAUGACUGACGCUGAGGCGCGAAAGCGUGGGGAGCAAACAGGAUUAGAUACCCUGGUAGUCCACGCUGUAAACGAUGUGUGCUAGAUGUUGGGUAACUUUGUUAUUCAGUGUCGCAGUUAACGCGUUAAGCACACCGCCUGGGGAGUACGGGCCGCAAGG